UACGUAGGGGGCAAGCGUUGUCCGGAUUUAUUGGGCGUAAAGAGCGUGUAGGCGGCCAAACAGGUCAGCUGUGAAAACUCGAGGCUCAACCUCGAGACGUCGGUUGAAACCGUUUGGCUAGAGUCCGGAAGAGGAGAGUGGAAUUCCCGGUGUAGCGGUGAAAUGCGCAGAUAUCGGGAAGAACACCCGUGGCGAAGGCGGCUCUCUGGGACGGUACUGACGCUGAAACGCGAAAGCGUGGGGAGCGAACAGG
This 253-nucleotide ribosomal RNA is filed under the name uncultured bacterium. RNAcentral describes it as "partial 16S ribosomal RNA". It matches the Rfam family "Bacterial small subunit ribosomal RNA", at positions 524 to 776 of the family's 1533-position model. The record is from RNAcentral.